UCGCGCACGCACCCCACACACAUACGAGUUUGUUAAUAAACUGUUUUAUAAGAAACAUUUAAAAAGUUGAAACACAUCCCGAUUACGACACAGCACACAUUGACAUGAUAAAAAUGUAUAUUACAUUAAAAUGUCUGUGAACUUUUUUUUUUUAAAUAAGUCAUCAUACAAAAUUAUUAACAAAAGAUGUUUCGAUUUGAUUUUGAGUGAAAUGAAACGUGUUCGUCAGAGUUAAGACAAAUAUGCCUACAGUCAAAUCUUUGAUCACGUGACAUAACUCAUAAUAAUGUAUAAUUUAUAUAAACGUACCGUUCAACCGUUAUUUAUAACCGGGUUUAUACACAAUUUAUUCACGUACCUCAAGAAAAAAACUAAAAAAAUCGGCGUCACUAGUUCUUUUACGUUUUGUGUAAACGAGAUCCAUCACACGAGCACACUAAUAUACACGACCAUCACACUAGAUAUCAGUAAUGAAAUUCUCUAAGAAGUCACUUCAUAACUCACCCGUGAAAUGUUUAAAUGUGACGUAUGGUGAUAUACUAUUUCGAUGCGUGAAUUCUUGAAAUGUUAUAAUUAUAAUGGUCAAUGUCGCAUGUCACUUUUGACAUUUCAUGGCCGUUUUCUGCUGUGAGUUUUGAAUUUGUUCUUAUAGAAUAGCCCUAAAUAUACAAUGUGAUACUAGGUGUCACAUUGAUUGUACUUUAAAUAUACUAGUUGGAAAUACCUGUGAUAAAAUACUGGGUUAUUAAUUUAAGGAACAGUAACAGCCUGUUAAUGUCCCACUGCUGGGCUAAGGCCUCCUCUCCCUUUUGAGGAGAAGGUUUGGAGCUUAUUCCACCACGCUGCUCCAAUGUGGGUUGGUGGAUACACAUGUGGCAGAAUUUUAAUGAAAUUAGACAUAUGCAGGUUUUCUCGCGAUGUUUUCCUUAACCGUCAAGCACGAGAUGAAUUAUAAACACAAAGUAAGCACAUGAAAAUUCAUUGGUGCUUGCCCGGGUUUGAACCCACGAUCAUCGGUUAAGAUUCACGCGUUCUAACCACUAGGCCAUCUCGGCUUUUUUUGGAACGUUUAUACUUUAUUUACUAAAUCAUUUUAAUUCGUAAAAAAGGCAGAUUAAACUGUCUGAACGCUAAAAUAAUAUUCAAUUAAAUAAUACACAAACUAAAUAUAAGUGAAUUUUUAUUUUUGAUACUAACAACGAACAAAAUGUUUACAAAAUUUACGUACGUAUAAUGAUACUACGUUUUAAUAAUAAUAAAUGCAUCUCUUUCUCAGUUAUUUAAUACGUAUAUGUGUAACGAAGAUGGACAUAUUAUUUUUUUAAAGACGAUAACAGUGACAGAAGAUUCUUGGUAUUGUAAGUGAAUGUCACAGAUAAAAAAUACCGUUAUCUCAUAAUGAUAUUUAAUAGUACUGUUAUUUUAUGAGUAUUUAUUUUGAUCCUAUUAUAAACCAUAGUCACAGAUAAGGAUGAAAUAUUGUCGCUGUGACAGACUGCUACUUUUUUUUUUAUCUAGUAUUUUAUCUAUGAUCCGCCUCAACUCUACUACUCACACAUUGCGUAUUAUCUAUUAAUGUAUGGAAAUAAAUCAUUUAAUUACAGUACAGUAUUAUAUAUAACAAUAAUGUGUAUCAUUAUUCCGGACUGAGUUUAUUUUAAAAGUGAUAAAUAGUGAUUUAAUGUACUGUGCGUCCCAGCAGUGAAAAUAUAUAUUGAAAAUGUGCACGGCACGGCGCCCGCCAUCGCGGGGCAGGACAAGGCCAACCCCACGGCGCUGCUGCUGUCGGGCGUCAUGAUGCUGCGCCACCUGCAGCUGGGCGCGCUGGCCGCCCGCAUCGAGGCCGCCUGCUUCGACGUGCUGCGCGAGGGCCGCGUGCUCACCGAGGACCUGGGCGGCGCCAGCACCUGCACGCAGUACACCAACGAGAUCAUCGCCAAGCUGCACUAGACCGCCUCCGCUCGCUGCCUUGUUGCCGACGCGCAGAGUGCAACCUCUUGUCACGUGUAACAUGCUCAUUGUUCUAAUCCCUUUGUACGUCGUUACUACGCUCAUUUAAGGAACUAAAAUAUCGCUAUCCACAGAACUAAAAUAUCGCACACGGGAGAAGGUGAUAGAGAUAUUAAGCGUGGAACGGAAUCAAAAUCAACAAAAAAAAAAAAAACACUAUUGAUACUUUAUUUAAAAAAGUAAAUCUAAACAAAUUUUAUUAAAAGUCAUUUCCAAAAGUAUCAUUACGAGAUGGUUAGUCUUGUGUUCAAGAAUUUUUCUGUUCAUUUUAUAUAUAAACAUACAAAUAGUACUAAAGUUUUUAAUUGAAUUAAAAAAACAGUAUUAUUUUUAAACUCAUAUAAGAUGUGAGUUUUAAGUUAUUUUAUGUUUAAUUAUAUAAAAAUAAUAGUAAUUUUUAAAAUUUAUACAUAUAAGGCAAUGCAGCGAUGGAUACCGAGUAGAUGAUUAGCUAAACUAGAUCAAUUGUUGAUAUUUUUAAAUUAUCCGAAUGAAAUUGUGUUUUGUUAUGUAUUGCGAAACGUGUGAUUGUUCAUAAAACAUUUCAUAAUGCAAAGAUCUUUUAGGUCAAUGAUUCCCAACCGUACUGUACCACCAAGCGCCCCCGACUUGGCCAUGUCAUUUUUCAUGUUAAUUUCUUUACGUGUAAAACCUAAUGACUUGUGUAUAAUUAAUUAUGAGUAAUAUGCCAUUGAAGUGUUGCCAGUUGCGACAAAACAAAUAUUGUCGUCGAAGUUUAAAUCGGUUUUUGUGCAGUAGAUACCGUUAUUGUUUCUUAACGCCUUAGUAGGAAAGCGCUAGGUGGUCUGGAAGUCGAUGAUGAUGAAUCACUUCUUGAAUUUUUAUUUAAUUUAUUAUUUUAUUAUCAAUGAAUUAAUUAUUUAAAUAGUUUAUUUUUUAAACAGUAUAAAUAAAAUACAAAAUAGUCUGUGCAAAAUUUUAUCCUUCAAGAUAUCUAUGUUCGUUUAUAAAAUAACAUAAAAAAUAUAUCGAUGUCAAAAGACCAUAUAGAUCGUCUUGUUUGUAUUUUUCUAAAUGAAAUGGACACACGUUUGGAAUGAAAAAUAUAAAUUGUGUGUCUUCGAAGAUCAUUCAAAAACCAUGUUACACCUCAUUAAGAGGGAAACGAUUUUAUUUGAUAUAAUUUGAAUUUUUCGAAUUUUUCUUAUAAAAUGAAAUGAAAUCUUUGUGUUCAUUCAUUUUCAUUGUAUUUAAGUUAUUUAUUGGCCGCUAGGCAUUUUUUGAUAGUGAUAGACGGCUGUUUUAGUGUGAUUGCUAGGUAGAUUUUCAUAUUGUAGUCUUUAAUAUAUAAAAUAAACAAUUGAAACGAUAUUCAAUAUUUUCCCGUAUUUUAUUAUUUUGCAUCCAAGUCUUGUUUACCAUAUAUAUAAUGUAUCAUUUAAAAUUUGGUCAAACCUUGCAACUUUAAACUAAAUCUGCAUAUCAUUAUCCCAAUAUGUUUUUAACUUGAACAAAGGUACUUACCCCAAACCUUUGUUUGAUACUUAAAUAAACAUUCAACAAUAUCAGCCAUAAUAAACAGUAUUCAUGUUAUAUAUUUAAUUUAGUUUAGUUUUAGUUAAACGGGUUUUCCUAAUUUGUGAUGUCAUUCCAUUUAUAUUUGCUAGUUUGUAUGUAGUAUUAUUUGUAUCGAUCUACAAUAUUUAUUACCAGUGAAAUGAAUCGUAAUACACAUUAAAACAAUCAGAUGUAAUCUGACAAUAAAUGUUAUAAUUAAAUAUUAUAUUG
Molecule: long non-coding RNA, 3759 nt
Organism: Nymphalis io (European peacock)
Lineage: Eukaryota; Metazoa; Arthropoda; Insecta; Lepidoptera; Nymphalidae
Exons: 2
Source: RefSeq, a predicted model, not a curated record